CAAGUAAUUCAUUCAUGAAUUGUACUGAGAUUUACAAUUCGUAGAUAUUGUGUGGCAUACUGCAUGGGUUAUGUGAUUUAAAAGGAAUUAGAGGAAUUUAGAAUAGAAUGGAAUACUUAUCCCAUACGUUCCAACUCAAAACCUUACUUUCAUCUGGCAUUCCCAACAAUAUGUAUGAGAUGCCAAAUAGCUAUGGAGUGAGUGACUUCCUGCAUUCAGUUCAUAACAUAUCAAUCUGGAUUUAUGCUAUGGAGAAGGAAAGUAAAGCUAUUCCAAGGUUUUAUUCACAUAUAUUUGAGAUAUGAGCUAACCAAUUACUAAGAGAUAUUGGGAUUAAUAAAAGUGACAUAACUGCUGAAAACUGUGUAUCUAUUAACAAGUAUUUGAUCAACAAUGUUUGAUGAUUAAAUGUGUCAGUUGAAGAGUUUGUUAAGUG
Molecule: long non-coding RNA, 436 nt
Organism: Amphimedon queenslandica
Lineage: Eukaryota; Metazoa; Porifera; Demospongiae; Haplosclerida; Niphatidae
Exons: 2
Source: RefSeq, a predicted model, not a curated record